AACGAACGCUGGCGGCAUGCCUAACACAUGCAAGUCGAACGAGACCUUCGGGUCUAUUGGCGCACGGGUGCGUAACGCGUGGGAACCUGCCCUUAGGUUCGGAAUAACUCCCCGAAAGGGGUGCUAAUACCGGAUAAUGUCUUCGGACCAAAGAUUUAUCGCCUUUGGAUGGGCCCGCGUUGGAUUAGCUAGUUGGUAGGGUAAAAGCCUACCAAGGCGACGAUCCAUAGCUGGUCUGAGAGGAUGAUCAGCCACACUGGGACUGAGACACGGCCCAGACUCCUACGGGAGGCAGCAGUGGGGAAUAUUGGACAAUGGGCGAAAGCCUGAUCCAGCAAUGCCGCGUGAGUGAUGAAGGCCUUAGGGUUGUAAAGCUCUUUUAACCGGGAUGAUAAUGACAGUACCGGGAGAAUAAGCUCCGGCUAACUCCGUG
This 433-nucleotide ribosomal RNA is filed under the name uncultured bacterium. RNAcentral's name for it is "partial 16S ribosomal RNA". It matches the Rfam family "Bacterial small subunit ribosomal RNA", at positions 29 to 507 of the family's 1533-position model. The record is from RNAcentral.